This 165-nucleotide ribosomal RNA is filed under the name uncultured bacterium. RNAcentral describes it as "partial 16S rRNA". It matches the Rfam family "Bacterial small subunit ribosomal RNA", at positions 355 to 511 of the family's 1533-position model. The record is from RNAcentral.
UAGGGAAUCUUCGGCAAUGGGGGCAGCCCUGACCGAGCAACGCCGCGUGAGUGAAGAAGGUUUUCGGAUCGUAAAGCUCUGUUGUAAGAGAAGAACGUGUGUGAGAGUGGAAAGUUCACACAGUGACGGUAACUUACCAGAAAGGGACGGCUAACUACGUGUCAG